GACGAACGCUGGCGGCGUGCUUAACACAUGCAAGUCGAACGGAAAGGCCCUGCUUUUGUGGGGUGCUCGAGUGGCGAACGGGUGAGUAACACGUGAGUAACCUGCCCUUGACUUUGGGAUAACUUCAGGAAACUGGGGCUAAUACCGGGUAGGAGCUCCUGCUGCAUGGUGGGGGUUGGAAAGUUUCGGCGGUUGGGGAUGGACUCGCGGCUUAUCAGCUUGUUGGUGGGGUAGUGGCUUACCAAGGCUUUGACGGGUAGCCGGCCUGAGAGGGUGACCGGCCACAUUGGGACUGAGAUACGGCCCAGACUCCUACGGGAGGCAGGAGUGGUGAAUAUUGCACAAUGGGCGGAAGCCUGAUGCAGCAACGCCGCGUGCGGGAUGACGGCCUUCGGGUUGUAAACCGCUUGCGCCUGUGACGAAGCGUGAGUGACGGUAAUGGGUAAAGAAGCACCGGCUAACUCCGUG
This 468-nucleotide ribosomal RNA is filed under the name uncultured bacterium. Its description in RNAcentral is "partial 16S ribosomal RNA". It matches the Rfam family "Bacterial small subunit ribosomal RNA", at positions 28 to 507 of the family's 1533-position model. The record is from RNAcentral.